Molecule: ribosomal RNA, 468 nt
Filed under: uncultured bacterium
Lineage: Bacteria
Description: partial 16S ribosomal RNA
Rfam family: Bacterial small subunit ribosomal RNA
Source: RNAcentral
GACGAACGCUGGCGGCGUGCUUAACACAUGCAAGUCGAACGGAAAGGCCCUGCUUUUGUGGGGUGCUCGAGUGGCGAACGGGUGAGUAACGCGUGAGUAACCUGCCCUUGACUUUGGGAUAACUUCAGGAAACUGGGGCUAAUACCGGAUAGGAGCUCCUGCUGCAUGGUGGGGGUUGGAAAGUUUCGGCGGUUGGGGAUGGACUCGCGGCUUAUCAGCUUGUUGGUGGGGUAGUGGCUUACCAAGGCUUUAACGGGUAGCCGGCCUGAGAGGGUGACCGGCCACAUUGGGACUGAGAUACGGCCCAGACUCCUACGGGAGGCAGCAGUGGGGAAUAUUGCACAAUGGGCGGAAGCCUGAUGCAGCAACGCCGCGUGCGGGAUGACGGCCUUCGGGUUGUAAACCGCUUUCGCCUGUGACGAAGCGUGAGUGACGGUAAUGGGUAAAGAAGCACCGGCUAACUACGUG